RNAcentral lists this ribosomal RNA (440 nucleotides) under uncultured bacterium. RNAcentral's name for it is "partial 16S ribosomal RNA". It matches the Rfam family "Bacterial small subunit ribosomal RNA", at positions 338 to 795 of the family's 1533-position model. The record is from RNAcentral.
CCUACGGGAGCAGCAGUGGGGAAUAUUGCACAAUGGGGGAAACCCUGAUGCAGCGACGCCGCGUGAGUGAAGAAGUAUUUCGGUAUGUAAAGCUCUAUCAGCAGGAACGAGACAAGACGGUACCUGACCAAGAAGCCCCGGCUAACUACGUGCCAGCAGCCGCGGUAAUACGUAGGGGGCAAGCGUUAUCCGGUAUUACUGGGUGUAAAGGGAGCGUAGACGGUUAAGUAAGUCUGGAGUGAAAGGCCCGGGCCCAACCCCGGGACUGCUCUUGAAACUAGUGAACUUGAGUGCAGGAGAGGUGGGCGGAAUUCCUGGUGGAGCGGUGAAAUGCGUAGAGAUUAGGAGGAACACCAGUGGCGAAGGCGGCUUACUGGACUGUAACUGACGUUGAGGCUCGAAAGCGUGGGGAGCAAACAGGAUUAGAUACCCCUGUAGUC